CAGCAGCCGCGGGAAUACGAAGGGUGCAAGCGUUAAUCGGAAUUACUGGGCGUAAAGCGUGCGUAGGCGGUUUGUUAAGUCUGUUGUGAAAUCCCCGGGCUCAACCUGGGAAUGGCAAUGGAUACUGGCAAGCUAGAGUGUGUCAGAGGAUGGUGGAAUUCCCGGUGUAGCGGUGAAAUGCGUAGAGAUCGGGAGGAACAUCAGUGGCGAAGGCGGCCAUCUGGGACAACACUGACGCUGAGGCACAAAAGCGUGGGGAGCAAACAGGAUUAGAUACCCCGGUAGUCCCUGUCUCUUAUAC
This 301-nucleotide ribosomal RNA is filed under the name uncultured bacterium. RNAcentral's name for it is "partial 16S ribosomal RNA". It matches the Rfam family "Bacterial small subunit ribosomal RNA", at positions 509 to 807 of the family's 1533-position model. The record is from RNAcentral.